CCUACGGGGGGCAGCAGUGGGGAAUCUUGCACAAUGGGGGAAACCCUGAUGCAGCGACGCCGCGUGAGCGAUGAAGCCCUUCGGGGUGUAAAGCUCUUUCGACAGGGACGAUAAUGACGGUACCUGGAGAAGAAGCUGCGGCUAACUACGUGCCAGCAGCCGCGGUAAUACGUAGGCAGCAAACGUUGUUCGGAGUUACUGGGCGUAAAGAGUGCGUAGGCGGUUCGCCAAGUUCGGUGUGAAAUCUCCCGGCUUAACUGGGAGGGUGCGCCGAAAACUGGCGGGCUUGAGUGUGGGAGAGGGAAGCGGAAUUCCUGGUGUAGCGGUGAAAUGCGUAGAUAUCAGGAGGAACACCGGUGGUGUAGACGGCUUCCUGGACCACAACUGACGCUGAGGCACGAAAGCGUGGGUAGCAAACAGGAUUAGAUACCCCGGUAGUC
RNAcentral lists this ribosomal RNA (440 nucleotides) under uncultured Acidobacteriota bacterium. RNAcentral's name for it is "bacterial SSU rRNA". It matches the Rfam family "Bacterial small subunit ribosomal RNA", at positions 338 to 795 of the family's 1533-position model. Lineage: Bacteria; Pseudomonadati; Acidobacteriota. The record is from RNAcentral.